Molecule: ribosomal RNA, 378 nt
Filed under: uncultured bacterium
Lineage: Bacteria
Description: bacterial SSU rRNA
Rfam family: Bacterial small subunit ribosomal RNA
Source: RNAcentral
ACGGGUGAGUAACACGUUGGAACUGCCCCAAAGUGAGGAAUAAGCCACCCGAAAAGGUGGUCUAAUACUUCAUAAUAUCCAUCUCGUAUGGAUUAAAGCUUUAUGCGCUUUGGGAGGGGCCUGCGUAACAUUAGCUUGUUGGUGAGGUAAAAGCUCACCAGGGCUUCGAUGUUUAACUGGUUUGAGAGGAUGACCAGUCACACUGGGACUGAGAUACGGCCCAGACUCCUACGGGAGGCAGCAGUAAGGAAUCUUCCACAAUGGGGCAACCCUGAUGGAGCAAUACCGCGUGCAGGAUGAAGCGUUUCGGCGUGUAAACUGCUUUUAUCACCGAAGAUUAUGACUGUAGGUGAAGAAUAAGGACCGGCUAACUACGUG